AACAGCCUUCCAUUCCCUUGGUUCCGGCUUGCAUAUUUUGUGCAGUGGAGUUGCCUUUAUGUUGUUUUUCAAUGGGUGAUUCAUGCCUGUGGUUUUACAUGGUGGCCUUAUCCAUUCCUGGAGCUUGAUAUUGCGUGGGCUCCUUUAUGGUAUUUUGCCUUGGCUGUGGUUCACGUCCCCUGUUAUGGGAUAUAUGCACUGAUUGUGAAAGCAAAAAACUCAAUUUUUCCCAGAUGGUUUCCUGGUACUUUUGUCAGGUCAUACUAAUUUGUUGUUCAUGAAACUGGGUACUAUUAUUGGUGGUUUUAAUUUUGAUUGCAUGCCUCUGUAUAAAAAAGGAGGGUAUGCUCAUCCACCCCUUUCAGAACUGUGUGUUUUGCAAGGUUCAGAAUAGAUUUUUUGUCGUAAACAUAAAA
RNAcentral lists this unclassified non-coding RNA (416 nucleotides) under Hevea brasiliensis (rubber tree). Lineage: Eukaryota; Viridiplantae; Streptophyta; Magnoliopsida; Malpighiales; Euphorbiaceae. The record is from RNAcentral.